CUAUAUGCAUAUAUAUGAUUUUUUUUUCAGUCUGAGUAAAUUAUAGGAAAUACUGCUUUUAUUUUUUUUCCUAAAUAAAUGGAAAUGGGAGGCUGGCACAUUAAGGCAAUGUAGGAACCUAAUGUACAGGGGCAGAGGGACUACUUCCGAAAGAGCUAAAUCUUUAUCCGUGUAAGCCAGACUGCCCGUGAUCUCGUUACACCGCAGAGAGCUUGCAAGCAUUGCUCCCCAAUCACAAAGAAAAAUCAGCGUGCAAGUGACCUGUGUAUUAGCAUCUCUGCAAAUCUCAGGCAGGAGCUGAGAUUUAUAUACAGUUUACACACCCCUGAGGAAAUACCCAUUUUAUGCCAUCGAUAGGCCAGAUGUAUUUUCCUCUGUGAAAUGUGAUCAGAAUGUAAUUAGAAGAAAAUAUUCUAUGUAUUCAAAAACAAAUACACAGUAUUCUUUAAAACUCCAUGGCAAUUUAGAACAGGAGGCGAUAUCAAAUUAGAGGAGUUGUGUGGAAGUGUUAUUAUUGCGUGAUCAGGCCUAUGAAGUUAUAUUUGUGAUAGUGGGAUGAUCAGCGUGCUAUAUAGCCAUUGAGCUGAAUUGAAAAUUUCAUGUGUUUGAAAAAACUUUGAAGAGGAUUACUAAUUCUUUUUUUUUUUUUUUUUUUCCCUCCAGAACCAAUUUUACAUAGAAAGAGAAAAAAAAUGAAGAUGGUUUUGGGGAAAAAACACACACAUUUCUAAUAAAACUUGCUAGAGCAAUCAUACAGACUGCUAUUAUUCUACUGCAUCUGUGCAUUUUACUGUAACAAAGUGAUUAAUAUGCUUCAAAAUUUGAACUUAUGGACUCAACUAUUUUAGUGUCAUAUCCAAAUACACAAAAACCCUACACAUCUAAUUUCUAUGUAAUACCAAGUAGUAUACAAUUAUAUGUGUAUUUAUAAUGUUUAGGCAUUUGAAUGGAUUGUGUGACAUAAGUGUGGACAAUUAUAUACAGGAACAUGAAUAAAACAUGUUCAAAUGCAUAAACAAGGCAGAUACCAGCCAAAAGACCUGUAUAUAUGCAUGACGAAUUAGGAUGAUAAUUCGCCUUUUAAUCUCUCCUAGACUUUGGAUCACAAUAUUAUAUAUAAGACUGAAUACUUUAUGGGAAAUAUAUGGGGAAAAAGGCAUAAUUUAUAACCUAAAUACUACAAGGAUUUUAAUCCUUUUUUUUAUAUGAACCGAAAAAGGUGAGUUUCUCAACCUCUCUGAAGAGGUCCAAAGAGAGGAUAGAUUAGUGGUCUUGGAUUUAAACUCAGGAUUAACAGGACUUGCCCCAAACUGAAGGUAUUAGGAGCCAAAUUUACGAAGCAGAAUAUUCUCAUAAGCAGCUUCUGGCCUCAUCUGGGAUUAUUGAUGGGUUCCAAGGAACUAGUAAUUCAUAGAUUUACUCUGGUAUUUGUCAAACCUUGUAAAUGUGAAGAAUGUCUGAAGAGAAGGAGGGUUGAUGGCUACACAUUAAGGAUUAAAUAAGACAUGGCACUUAAAAAACAUGGCCCUGAAUGCUUGGAUAUUCCUCCCACUGCGAGGCUGGCCCAUGUCCCUUCCCUUUGAAUCAAGUUGGGUUUGACUGUUUCAACACAUAGCAUGCAGUGGAAGUGAUGUCAUGUGAUUUUGAAUCUCCAUCAGAAGGGACUGUGCAGUGUUCACCCCGUUCUUUGGGAAUGUUCUCUCCAGGAGAAGCCGGCCACCUGGUAAAGACAUCUCCACAUGCCAAGACCACCAUGCUGGAGAGGCACCUAUGGGCCCUCUGGCUGACAGGGUGUCUUUGCAGGUCCUGAAGAGCAGAGAUAAGCCAUGCUCCCUUUUCCUUCUCCAGAUCUCUGACUCUCAGAGUCUGUGGGAAUAAUAAAGUUGUUAUUUUAUGCCACUUUUGGGGUGUUUGGUUCUCAGCAACAGUUACUGAGACAAGCCCAUAUUUCCCAAACUUAUCUUUAAUAAUUAUCACUUGGGGAAUAUGUUAGAAACAGGUUCCCACAUUGCACUCACAGACGUUCUGACUUAAGAGGUCUGGCCAGGGUAGGAAUGGAAAAAUCUAUUUUUAACAAACAGUAAGGAAAGUUAACUAUAGUAAAAUGACCCCAAGAUGCCAAAUGAUUUGUUGGCCAGUUUGGAUAUAUGGCUUCUUAAUGGCAAACAUAUUUCUCUGCGGUGGCGUGGGUUUGAUCCCUGUGGACUAAAGAUCCCGCAUUGCUACAGCUGUAGUGUGGGUCAAAGCUGCAGCUUGGGUUUGGUCUCCGGCUGAUGAACUUCCAUAUGUUGUGGAUGCUGC
Molecule: long non-coding RNA, 2301 nt
Filed under: Sus scrofa (pig)
Lineage: Eukaryota; Metazoa; Chordata; Mammalia; Artiodactyla; Suidae
Description: lncRNA (ENSSSCG00055003052.1)
Source: RNAcentral